AGAACGAACGCUGGCGGCAGGCUUAACACAUGCAAGUCGAGCGCCCCGCAAGGGGAGCGGCAGACGGGUGAGUAACGCGUGGGAACAUACCCUCCGGUUCGGAAUAACUCAGGGAAACUUGAGCUAAUACCGGAUACGGUCGAGAGGCGAAAGAUUUAUCGCCGGAGGAUUGGCCCGCGUCCGAUUAGCUAGUUGGUGUGGUAAUGGCGCACCAAGGCGACGAUCGGUAGCUGGUCUGAGAGGAUGAUCAGCCACAUUGGGACUGAGACACGGCCCAAACUCCUACGGGAGGCAGCAGUGGGGAAUAUUGGACAAUGGGCGCAAGCCUGAUCCAGCCAUGCCGCGUGAGUGAUGAAGGCCCUAGGGUUGUAAAGCUCUUUUGUGCGGGAAGAUAAUGACGGUACCGCAAGAAUAAGCCCCGGCUAACUUCGUGCCAGCAGCCGC
This 444-nucleotide ribosomal RNA is filed under the name uncultured bacterium. RNAcentral describes it as "SSU rRNA". It matches the Rfam family "Bacterial small subunit ribosomal RNA", at positions 26 to 518 of the family's 1533-position model. The record is from RNAcentral.